GACGAACGCUGGCGGCGUGCUUAACACAUGCAAGUCGAACGGAAAGGCCCUGCUUUUGUGGGGUGCUCGAGUGGCGAACGGGUGAGUAACACGUGAGUAACCUGCCCUUGACUUUGGGAUAACUUCAGGAAACUGGGGCUAAUACCGGAUAGGAGCUCCUGCUGCAUGGUGGGGGUUGGAAAGUUUCGGCGGUCGGGGCUGGACUCGCGGCUUAUCAGCUUGUUGGUGGGGUAGUGGCUUACCAAGGCUUUGACGGGUAGCCGGCCUGAGAGGGUGACCGGCCACAUUGGGACUGAGAUACGGCCCAGACUCCUACGGGAGGCAGCAGUGGGGAAUAUUGCACAAUGGGCGGAAGCCUGAUGCAGCAACGCCGCGUGCGGGAUGACGGCCUUCGGGUUGUAAACCGCUUUCGCCUGUGACGAAGCGUGAGUGACGGUAAUGGGUAAAGAAGCACCGGCUAACUACGUG
Molecule: ribosomal RNA, 468 nt
Filed under: uncultured bacterium
Lineage: Bacteria
Description: partial 16S ribosomal RNA
Rfam family: Bacterial small subunit ribosomal RNA
Source: RNAcentral